GGCACUCACAGACUUUUGAAUUCAGAAUAAACCGGCAAAUGAUUUUUCCCGAAAUGACUCUGAUCGACAGACCAAGGCCCAGUUUAUUUUUAGAAUACAUUACAAUCACUCCAAAAUACUCACAUACCUGCAUCACGAGCUGCACUUUUUUUUGCGUGCCUGUUUAGCCUUUCACUUAGCAGCCCCUGAUGUGGCCCUGCUCUGAUCGUUUCUGCACCAUUAUAAGUCACUGACUACAAGUCAGUCAGCUGCAGAAAGGUUUUCAUCUCUUCAUACAUUCAGAGGGUGGGACUCACUUUGAAACGGAUUAGAUAGAUAGAUAGAUAGAUACUUUAUUGAUCCCCAAGGGGAAAUUCAAGGUCCCAGUAGCUCAAGACAUCACACACAAUACAACUUACAAUAAAGUAUAAGCAAGAUGCUAAAAAAUUAAUUAAUAAAAAACAGUAAAAUAUACCAAAUCAAGGAUCCACAGACUGGGAAAUAGAGGUAGGGGUUGUACAUGUGGGCUAAUAUAGUCCAUAAACAGUGUAAACAGGAAAACAGUCACACAGUGAGCCAGUACACAACAUUGUUGUAAGAGGUCAUGGAAGUGUAUGAGUAUACAUGAAAAGGUGAAGAGGCUGAUAGACUAUGCAGAGAAGUCUAUCUCACCUCUUCCUUUAAGUGAAGCAUUGAAGAAUUGUAUAGCCCUAGGGACAAAAGACUUCCUCAGCCUGUCAGUUGUGCAUGACAGUGAGUGUAGCCUCCUACUGAUCAAGCUCUUUCGCUUUAUGAUAGUGUUAUGGAGUGGAUGACAAUCAUUGUCCAAAAUAUUAAUCAAUUUGCUCAAGGUCCUUUUGUCUGACACUGACGUGAUACACUCCAGUUCCGCUCCCACAACAGAGCCAGCUUUCCUUACCAGCCUGUCCAGUCGUCCAGCAUCCUUCUUCUUAAUGCUUCCUCCCCAGCAUACCACAGCAUAGAAGAGGACGCUGGCAACAGCAGACUGGUAGAACAUCCAGAGGAGCUUGCUGCAGACAUUAAAGGACCACAGCCUCCUCAGGAAGUACAACCUGCUCUGCCCUUUCUUGUAGAGUGCUUCAGUGUUGAAUGACCAGUCCAGUUUAUUGUCCAAACGUAUUCCCAGAUACUUGUAAGUGUUCACCACCUGCACCUUUACCCCCUCACUGGUGACUGGCAGCAGAGCAGGCUUAGACUUCCGGAAAUCUACCACCAUCUCCUUGGUCUUAGCAGUGUUGAGUUGUAGGUGGAUGAGUUUGCACCACUGCACAAAGUCCUCCACCAGGCUCCUGUACUCCUCCUCCUGCCCAUCCCUGAUAUGCCCCACAAUUGCAGUAUCGUCCGAAAACUUCUGCAUGUGGCAUGACUCUGUAUUGUAGCAAAAGUCAGACGUGUACAGGGUGAACAGGACUGGAGAGAGCACUGUUCCCUGUGGAGCUCCGGUGCUACUGAUCGCAGUGUCAGAGAGGCAGUUCUUCAGUCUGACGAACUGUGGCCGCUCUGUCAGAUAGUCUGCAAUCCAGGAUACUAGGUAAGCAUGCAUCCUGUGCAGGAGAUAUGUGAUGGCAUCGUCCACGCCCACUCUCUCAUGGUAUGCAAACUGUAGCGGGUCUAGUGCAAGACGUACCUGGGGUCUAAGUAUCCCCAAAACCAUGGUCUAUAUCCAAUGGACAAUUCAUCUAUAUCCAAUGGACAAUUUGUC
Ictalurus punctatus (channel catfish) is the source of this 1702-nucleotide long non-coding RNA. The record is from Ensembl. Lineage: Eukaryota; Metazoa; Chordata; Actinopteri; Siluriformes; Ictaluridae.